Molecule: ribosomal RNA, 460 nt
Filed under: uncultured bacterium
Lineage: Bacteria
Description: partial 16S ribosomal RNA
Rfam family: Bacterial small subunit ribosomal RNA
Source: RNAcentral
CCUACGGGAGGCAGCAGUGAGGAAUAUUGGUCAAUGGCCGCAAGGCUGAACCAGCCAUGCAGCGUGAAGGUCAGUGCCCUUUGGGCGUUUAAAUUCUUUUUUGCGGGAGCAAUAAUGGUCACGUGUGGCCAUACUAGAGUUCCGUCCGAAUUAGCAUCGGCUAAAUUCGUUCCCGCCGCCGCGGUGAUUCGGGGGAUGCCAGCGUUAUCCGGGUUUAUUGGGGUUUAAGGGUGCGUAGGCGGGGCGGUCAGUCAUCGGUGAAAUGGCCUCGGGCAACGGGGUGAAGUGCCAUUGAUACUGGCGUGCUGGAAUGCGGAUGCGGUGGGAGGAAUGUGUGGUGUAGCGGUGAAAUGCGUAGAUAUCAGGAGGAACACCGAUGGCGAAGGCGGCCUGCUGGACUGCGACUGACGUUGAGGCCCGAAAGCGUGGGGAGCAAACAGGAUUAGAUACCCGGGUAGUC